Molecule: ribosomal RNA, 414 nt
Filed under: Triticum aestivum (bread wheat)
Lineage: Eukaryota; Viridiplantae; Streptophyta; Magnoliopsida; Poales; Poaceae
Description: partial small subunit ribosomal RNA
Source: RNAcentral
AUGGCUGGCGAGGACACCGACCCCAAGUCCAGUGCUGUUGCUGCUGCUGUCCCGUAUGUCUUCUUCUUUCUGUCACAUGUUCUGCCACUGUUACUUCUACUAGUACUUGCCCUACAUAUGUUAGGUUCUACUUCAUAUAUGCAACUAGUUCUACCGUCUGCUAUAGAUAUGUUUGGCUACGGUUCAUAUAUGCAGAAGCUAUUUACCUUCUCUCUGUCAGAACGCAUGACUUGCUUUGUCUCUACCUUUUUAGUCAUGCUUUAUCUAGUAUUUCUGUUAAUAAAAUCAUUCAGUAAAUUGCUCAUAUUUCCAACAAUCCAAAAACCUUAUUAUAGGCAAUUUACCUCGAAUGGUUUUGCUGCUUCCAUGAGACCUCCUAUGUUUGAGGGUAUCCACUAUAAGAGGUGGCGCUGA